AUUUGGCGGACGGGUGAGUAACACGUGGGCAACCUACCCUAUAGUUUGGGAUAACUCCGGGAAACCGGGGCUAAUACCGAAUAAUCUCUUUUGCUUCAUGGUAAAAGACUGAAAGACGGUUUCGGCUGUCGCUAUAGGAUGGGCCCGCGGCGCAUUAGCUAGUUGGUGAGGUAACGGCUCACCAAGGCGACGAUGCGUAGCCGACCUGAGAGGGUGAUCGGCCACACUGGGACUGAGACACGGCCCAGACUCCUACGGGAGGCAGCAGUAGGGAAUCUUCCACAAUGGGCGAAAGCCUGAUGGAGCAACGCCGCGUGAGUGAAGAAGGUUUUCGGAUCGUAAAACUCUGUUGUAAGGGAAGAACAAGUACAGUAGUAACUGGCUGUACCUUGACGGUACCUUAUUAGAAAGCCACGGCUAACUACGUGCCAGCAGCCGCGGUAAUAAU
RNAcentral lists this ribosomal RNA (448 nucleotides) under Bacillus cereus. RNAcentral's name for it is "bacterial SSU rRNA". It matches the Rfam family "Bacterial small subunit ribosomal RNA", at positions 93 to 526 of the family's 1533-position model. Lineage: Bacteria; Bacillati; Bacillota; Bacilli; Caryophanales; Bacillaceae. The record is from RNAcentral.